RNAcentral lists this ribosomal RNA (380 nucleotides) under uncultured eukaryote. Its description in RNAcentral is "partial 18S ribosomal RNA". It matches the Rfam family "Eukaryotic small subunit ribosomal RNA", at positions 592 to 976 of the family's 1831-position model. The record is from RNAcentral.
CAAUAGCGUAUAUUAAAGUUGUUGCGGUUAAAAAGUUCGUAGUUGGAUUUCUGCCAAGGACGACCGGUCCGCCCUCUGGGUGAGUAUCUGGCUUGGCCUGGGCAUCUUCUUGGAGAACGUUGCUGCACUUCGCUGUGUGGCGCGGUAUCCAGGACCUUUACUUUGAGGAAAUUAGAGUGUUUCAAGCAGGCUUUCGCCUUGAAUACAUUAGCAUGGAAUAAUAAGAUAGGACCUCGGUUCUAUUUUGUUGGUUUCUAGAGCUGGGGUAAUGAUUAAUAGGGAUAGUUGGGGGCAUUCGUAUUUAACUGUCAGAGGUGAAAUUCUUGGAUUUGUUGAAGACGGACUACUGCGAAAGCAUUUGCCAAGGAUGUUUUCAUUGA